GCCCGCUCGCCGUAAGCCCAAGGUUUCCUGCUCUACGUUCAUCGGAGCAGGGUGAGUCGGCCCCUAAGGCCAGGCUGAGAAGCGUAGUCGAUGGGAAGCAGAUUAAUAUUUCUGCACCAUGUGCAAGUGCGAUGGGGGGACGGAGUGCGAAAGAUCAUCCGGGUGUUGGAUGUCCCGGUUUGUGAGUGUAGAAGGCCGACAGGCAAAUCCGUCGGCGGAUCUUCGAGACAAAGCAUCGAGGUUCUACGGAACCGAAGUGAUCGGAAGUGCUUCCAGGAAAAGCCUCUAAGCUUCAGCUUGUACAUGACCGUACCGUAAACCGACACUGGUGGGCGAGUUGAAUAUACUCAGGCGCUUGAGAGAACUCGGGAGAAGGAACUCGGCAAAUUGACACCGUAACUUCGGGAUAAGGUGUGCCUUUGUAGCGUGAAGAGAGAAACACUCGGAGCGUGAAGAGGCCUCAGAGAAUCGGUGGCUGCAACUGUUUAUUAAAAACACAGCACUCUGCAAAGACGAAAGUCGACGUAUAGGGUGUGAUGCCUGCCCGGUGCUGGAAGAUUAAGUGAUGGGGUGAGAGCUCCUGAUCGAAGUCCCAGUAAACGGCGGCCGUAACUAUAACGGUCCUAAGGUAGCGAAAUUCCUUGUCGGGUAAGUUCCGACCUGCACGAAUGGCAUAAUGAUGGCCACACUGUCUCCUCCCGAGACUCAGUGAAGUUGAAAUGUUUGUGAUGAUGCAAUCUCCCCGCGGCUAGACGGAAAGACCCCAUGAACCUUUACUGUAGCUUUGCAUUGGACUUUGAACCGAUUUGUGUAGGAUAGGCGGGAGGCAGAGAAAGCGCAACGCCAGUUGUGCCGGAGCCGACGUUGAAAUACCGCCCUGAUUUGUUUGAGGUUCUAACCGCGACCCGUAAGCCGGGUCCGGGACCGUGCAUGGCAGGCAGUUUGACUGGGGCGGUCUCCUCCUAAAGGGUAACGGAGGAGUACAAAGGUACGCUAGGUACGGUCGGAAAUCGUGCUGAUAGUGCAAAGGCAAAAGCGUGCUUGACUGCGAGACCGACAAGUCGAGCAGAUGCGAAAGCAGGUCUUAGUGAUCCGGUGGCUCUGUAUGGAAGGGCCAUCGCUCAACGGAUAAAAGGUAC
This 1139-nucleotide ribosomal RNA is filed under the name human gut metagenome. RNAcentral describes it as "bacterial LSU rRNA". It matches the Rfam family "Bacterial large subunit ribosomal RNA", at positions 1328 to 2466 of the family's 2925-position model. The record is from RNAcentral.